RNA transcript from Macrosteles quadrilineatus (aster leafhopper), 850 nucleotides. It is a transcript of the gene named calmodulin-like, with no coding region annotated. NCBI's taxonomy places the organism in Eukaryota, Metazoa, Arthropoda, Insecta, Hemiptera, Cicadellidae. The record is from RefSeq and is a predicted model, not a curated record. The transcript has 5 exons.
UAAUUGCUGCCAAAUGUAACGGUACUGAAACGUUGCGUUUGGCCUUACAGUAUUGCGAACUCACCAUGAAAGUUAUAGUCGCGGUUUUACUAAUUGUUAUACUGGACUUGAAAACGAUUGAUGCAGACCUGGAGGAUGUUAAGCCCCAUGAAGUGAGUAAAGAGGAAGAAGAAAAAGCAUUGGAGGCAAUGGCAAUUGUAGACAAGGAUGGUGAUGGGAAAAUCUCAGUCGCUGAGCUACAAUUGUUAAUGAAAAAAAUAGGAAAAGAUGUCAGCCACGAUAAAGCUGCAGAAAUGCUUAAGAAGGCUGAUAUUGACGGGAACGGUAGCGUCAACGUAUCGGAGUUAAUGCAGUACCUUAAAUGAUCUGUUUGGGAAGAAUUCAAAAAAGCAGUUGAUGAAUUAUUUCCAUUUCUUGAUAAAAAUAAUGAUGGAGCUAUUGAUCGUGAUGAGAUCAAAACCUUUUAUAGAAAAAUGAAACAAGAUUUAAGCGAUGAAGAAGUCAAUGAUAUGUACAAAAAGGCAGUCAAGGACAAGAACGGACAGAUAACCAAAAACGAAUUCUAUUGGAUCCAUUUAAGACACUUCAAGCCACAGCCUCCACAGCCCCCUUCCAAAUCUGUUGUAAGCAAAUUUUUCAGAUGGACAAAAGGCAAUUUCUCUUCAUUGGCAAAAAAGCUCACGAGCUAGAAAUCUUGCACGACAAGCUUCAAAACUAGACAUUGUUCAUUUUUUAAACUAUUUAUAAGAUUUUAAAAAGUGUAUUUUAGUUCGGAAUUUCAAUUAUGAUUUUCCUGGUGGUUUUCAAACUUGUUCUGUCAAGAAAGGCUAGAAAAAUAAAAGUGUGAUAC